AAGCCAUUGUUUAUGAUUAAGCAGUGUACCAAAAUUCUUGACAUUCAAUAUUUGGGGACAACAAAGUGACCAAUCAAUUAGGAAAAUCUAAGCGUCUUGAUUAAAAACAUGCUUGCAUAGUUGCAUAGACCUGUAGAUGUUAAUUUAUUGUUGUACUGCGCCUUCCGUCUGCAACGAAAUAAAACAAUAAUUGUAAAACUCCUAACACUUGUUUUAUUUUCCCCUGCUGACAAUUCUCUGGGUUGUAGACGAGUCUAUUUGCUGCGGGGGAAGGCAUAGAUAAACAUCUUCAAACUGAUUUAGUGGAGCGAAAUAUUAUUCUGCAGAUUCUGUCAUAUUGUUCCACAGUAGGCUUUCUUUAAUCUCUUAUGCUUUUUGAUCUAGCAAUGCACGUGAAGAUAACAAUCUGAUAUGAAAUUUAAGGAGAUACUGGGCCAGAAAAUGUUGAGACCACUGAAGCUGUUUCAUCUCGAAGAUGAGAAGCAAAGCCAGGUCGAGCAAACAUCUUUUGUCCCUGUAUUUUCCGUGCUUCCUUUAUCAAGGAUAUACCUUGAGUUGCAGAAUUGAUGCUGUUGUUUCCCAUCUGUUGGAUGCUCAGGGAAAGCCUUCUAUUUAAAGGGGUUGCAUUGCUAAGGCCUCCGUUUAAGCUUCUGUUUGAAAGACGUCGACUACUGGUGCCUGGCCUUGACCCAAAUGUAUUAUCUUGGUCAACUACUACCUGGAUCUGCACCUUCUUCUUUUCCCUUUGUCUUUGCUUCUCUUCCUCUCUCUCCUGCCUUGACAUGUUAUAUUCUUCCAACAUUGCCAACAGAGGUACAUCAUCAAACAAGAAUACUUUCUUUCUUUCUUCUUCCCAAAUCUUGGUCUUUGCUAUAAGCGAGGCCACCAAAACUGAGAUUUUGUUGACUAUUACUCGGGCACGUUCUGCACGUCUCAGGUUCUUAUGAGCACCUCUGCUAACUGAAUAUCGAUUUUCAUCCAUGCUAUAUUCUUCUAACCAGCGUUCCUCAUCACGUGCUAAAAUCCACCUUUCAACCUUUUCCAUUAUUUCCUUCCUGCUAGAAGCUUCUUCUUUUGCUCUUGCUAUCUGUUCAUCCAUGCUCAUGAGGAGAUCGGCAUGGUCAAUCUCCCCUUUUUAAUGUGUCAGUAUGCAGACAACUACAGUCUUAAACGUGAAUAACAAUGGAUAAUUGGAACAAAUGAUUCAGUCAAACUUACCCGAGUUUAUAAGUGUAAUUAUAUUAUCAAUCUCUGGUCUUGAAGGGAUCUCCAUGUGUGAUUUAUUGCAUAUAUCCUCUAGCUCAUUCUGCUUCUUGAAGAAAAGCUCUUUCAUCUUGCUUGCCUUUAACUGAUCCAGUCGCUUCACUUCUGCUUCAGCCUGCUGGAUUAUAUUCAGGGUAAGGCUUCCAGGAUCUGAUACUUCAGCCGAUGAGACAGAUAACAAGCCAGUGACAUGAGAAAACAGACGGCGAUCUUCAGAGGGUGUGUCCAUGAGUUUCCAUAAAUUUCUCAAUGCCUUUCCUAGAUGAUGAAGCUUUUCAAGUCGCUUCUGUUUUUCUUCCUCAAGCGAUUCCACUGUGCUGUUGAGUUUGGCCAAAAUGCUGUCACUUAUAUUUUUGGAUAUGCCACACAAUUCAUUCAAACUUGGAUGAACUUUUGUUACAAUCAUGGAAGAUUCCAUUCCUAAUGUUGUGGAUAAUCUGUGGAUUGUAUCUAUGUAUGUCUCCACUUGCUGGAGCCUGUCAUUCUUCUCAUUGUGAAGCCUUUGUAGCUCAAUCUGAUAUUCCUCUAGUUUCUUCAAUGAAAGAUCAUUCUCGUUUACUAUGACAUUUGUUAUUGAGUCUUCAUACACUGACUGACCUGCAAUUUCUGCAGAAAUUUUUUGAAUUUGCCCUUUCACAGCUCGAAACUGGUUCACUCUUUCUUCUUUUCUCAACCUCAUCUCCCGCAAUGCUGGGGUGAUUGCAUCUAGCUGCUCCUUUAGUGUUCCUGAAAUUUUUUCUGGCCUUCCAGGGAGAGAUCGUUCCCCAAGUGACAGAAGGAGAUGCGUAAAUUCAGCUUCAGAUUCUGCUAACUCUUGAUGCAGGCGAGCUCUUGAUAUAUUUGCACUGUCCACUUUUCUUCUAUAAACUUCUAGACACUCCUGUUCUAAAUCCAGGAGGACCUUCUCUCUUUCAAACUGGUCCUCACCAACUUCAUCCCAGAUGAUCUGUUUCAAGUUAGGAGGAAAGGAAAGAGAUUGAGAACAAAUAAAGCAUUAUAUUUGCUCAUGAAUUACUAUCAUGAUCUCCUGAAUACUCUUGCCUGCAAUUCUUGGAGUAGGUAUCCACAUGAUGUUUCUAACAAUGCAGAGCUUCGCAUUCCAAUAGGUGUUUGGAACGAACCCAUCUGACAGGCCCUUCAGUGUGGCUGGAAAUUUUGGAGGUACUUGGAUCACUAGAAUAUGUGAGUUCUUUGUGAGACAGUUCGGCUACUGGACACUGGUGGCUGAAAGCAUUGGUUCAUUUCGAAGCAACUAAGUAUUGAGAGAAAGGGAAUGAUGAUCGGGAAUUUUGGUGCGAGUAUUUCCUUAAAAGAAAAGGCUACUGAGUUU
RNAcentral lists this unclassified non-coding RNA (2593 nucleotides) under Hevea brasiliensis (rubber tree). Lineage: Eukaryota; Viridiplantae; Streptophyta; Magnoliopsida; Malpighiales; Euphorbiaceae. The record is from RNAcentral.